RNAcentral lists this ribosomal RNA (468 nucleotides) under uncultured bacterium. RNAcentral describes it as "partial 16S ribosomal RNA". It matches the Rfam family "Bacterial small subunit ribosomal RNA", at positions 28 to 507 of the family's 1533-position model. The record is from RNAcentral.
GACGAACGCUGGCGGUGUGCUUAACACAUGCAAGUCGAACGGUAAGGCCCUUUCGGGGGUACACGAGUGGCGAACGGGUGAGUAACACGUGAGUAACCUGCCCUCAUCUCUGGGAUAACAGUCGGAAACGGUUGCUAAUACUGGAUAUGAGCUUGCAAGGCAUCUUGUGGGUUGGAAAGAUUUUUUUUGGUUGGGGAUGGACUCGCGGCCUAUCAGCUUGUUGGUGAGGUAGUGGCUCACCAAGGCUUCGACGGGUAGCCGGCCUGAGAGGGCGACCGGCCACAUUGGGACUGAGAUACGGCCCAAACUCCUACGGGAGGCAGCAGUGGGGAAUAUUGCACAAUGGACGGAAGUCUGAUGCAGCAACGCCGCGUGCGGGAUGACGGCCUUCGGGUUGUAAACCGCUUUCAAUUGUGACGAAGCUUUUUUGUGACGGUAGCAGCAGAAGAAGCACCGGCUAACUACGUG